Molecule: transfer RNA, 58 nt
Filed under: Salmo salar (Atlantic salmon)
Lineage: Eukaryota; Metazoa; Chordata; Actinopteri; Salmoniformes; Salmonidae
Rfam family: tRNA
About the family: Transfer RNA (tRNA) molecules are approximately 80 nucleotides in length. Their secondary structure includes four short double-helical elements and three loops (D, anti-codon, and T loops).
Source: Rfam by way of RNAcentral
UAGCUCAGUUGGUAGAGCAUGGUGUGUGCAACGCCAGGGUUGUGGGUUCGAUUCCCAU